RNAcentral lists this ribosomal RNA (436 nucleotides) under uncultured Clostridium sp. RNAcentral describes it as "partial 16S ribosomal RNA". It matches the Rfam family "Bacterial small subunit ribosomal RNA", at positions 341 to 792 of the family's 1533-position model. The record is from RNAcentral. Lineage: Bacteria; Bacillati; Bacillota; Clostridia; Eubacteriales; Clostridiaceae. RNAcentral also lists the same sequence under 1 other name.
ACGGGAGGCAGCAGUGGGGAAUAUUGCACAAUGGAGGGAACUCUGAUGCAGCAACGCCGCGUGAGUGAUGAAGGCCUUCGGGUCGUAAAACUCUGUGAUCGAGGAAAAGAAGAAGAUAGUACUCGAAGAGGAAGCUCCGGCUAACUAUGUGCCAGCAGCCGCGGUAAUACAUAGGGAGCGAGCGUUGUCCGGAAUUACUGGGCGUAAAGAGUGCGUAGGCGGCAUAUCAAGUCAGGUGUGAAAUACCGGGGCUCAACUCCGGAAUUGCAUUUGAAACUGGUAAGCUUGAGUACAGGAGGGGGAAGCGGAAUUCCUGGUGUAGCGGUGAAAUGCAUAGAGAUCAGGAGGAACACCGGCGGCGAAGGCGGCUUUCUGGACUGUAACUGACGCUGAGGCACGAAAGCGUGGGUAGCAAACAGGAUUAGAUACCCUGGUA